GACGAACGCUGGCGGCGUGCUUAACACAUGCAAGUCGAACGGAAAGGCCCUGCUUUUGUGGGGUGCUCGAUUGCCGAACGGGUGAGUAACACGUGAGUAACCUGCCCUUGACUUUGGGAUAACUUCAGGAAACUGGGGCUAAUACCGGAUAGGAGCUCCUGCUGCAUGGUGGGGGUUGGAAAGUUUCGGCGGUUGGGGAUGGACUCGCGGCUUAUCAGCUUGUUGGUGGGGUAGUGGCUUACCAAGGCUUUGACGGGUAGCCGGCCUGAGAGGGUGACCGGCCACAUUGGGACUGAGAUACGGACCAGAAUCCUACGGGAGGCAGCAGUGGGGAAUAUGGCACAGUGGGCGGAAGCCUGAUGCAGAAACGCCGCGUGCGGGAUGACGGCCUUCGGGUUGUAAACCGCUUUCGCCUGUGACGAAGCGUGAGUGACGGUAAUGGGUAAAGAAGCACCGGCUAACUACGUG
This 468-nucleotide ribosomal RNA is filed under the name uncultured bacterium. RNAcentral describes it as "partial 16S ribosomal RNA". It matches the Rfam family "Bacterial small subunit ribosomal RNA", at positions 28 to 507 of the family's 1533-position model. The record is from RNAcentral.